UUUAUGGAGAGUUUGAUCCUGGCUCAGGAUGAACGCUGGCGGCGGAACUAAUACAUGCAAGUCGAGCGAACAGAUAAGGAGCUUGCUCCUUUGACGCGGCGGACGGGUGAGUAACACGUGGGUAACCUACCUAUAAGACUGGAAUAACUCCGGGAAACCGGGGCUAAUGCCGGAUAACAUGUUGAACCGCAUGGUUCUACAGUGAAAGACGGUCUUGCUGUCACUUAUAGAUGGACCCGCGCCGUAUUAGCUAGUUGGUGGGGUAACGGCCUACCAAGGCGACGAUACGUAGCCGACCUGAGAGGGUGAUCGGCCACACUGGAACUGAGACACGGUCCAGACUCCUACGGGAGGCAGCAGUAGGGAAUCUUCCGCAAUGGGCGAAAGCCUGACGGAGCAACGCCGCGUGAGUGAUGAAGGUCUUCGGAUCGUAAAGCUCUGUUGUUAGGGAAGAACAAAUGUGUAAGUAACUGUGCACAUCUUGACGGUACCUAACCAGAAAGCCACGGCUAACUACGUGCCAGCGCGGUAAUACGUAGGUGGCAAGCGUUAUCCGGAAUUAUUGGGCGUAAAGCGCGCGUAGGCGGUUUUUUAAGUCUGAUGUGAAAGCCCACGGCUCAACCGUGGAGGGUCAUUGGAAACUGGAAAACUUGAGUGCAGAAGAGGAAAGUGGAAUUCCAUGUGUAGCGGUGAAAUGCGCAGAGAUAUGGAGGAACACCAGUGGCGAAGGCGGCUUUCUGGUCUGCAACUGACGCUGAUGUGCGAAAGCGUGGGGAUCAAACAGGAUUAGAUACCCUGGUAGUCCACGCCGUAAACGAUGAGUGCUAAGUGUUAGGGGGUUUCCGCCCCUUAGUGCUGCAGCUAACGCAUUAAGCACUCCGCCUGGGGAGUACGGUCGCAAGACUGAAACUCAAAGGAAUUGACGGGGACCCGCACAAGCGGUGGAGCAUGUGGUUUAAUUCGAAGCAACGCGAAGAACCUUACCAAAUCUUGACAUCCUUUGACCGCUCUAGAGAUAGAGUUUUCCUCUUCGGAGGACAAAGUGACAGGUGGUGCAUGGUUGUCGUCAGCUCGUGUCGUGAGAUGUUGGGUUAAGUCCCGCAACGAGCGCAACCCUUGAACUUAGUUGCCAUCAUUCAGUUGGGCACUCUAAGUUGACUGCCGGUGACAAACCGGAGGAAGGUGGGGAUGACGUCAAAUCAUCAUGCCCUUAUGAUUUGGGCUACACACGUGCUACAAUGGACAAUACAAAGGGCAGCGAAACCGCGAGGUCAAGCAAAUCCCAUAAAGUUGUUCUCAGUUCGGAUUGUAGUCUGCAACUCGACUACAUGAAGCUGGAAUCGCUAGUAAUCGUAGAUCAGCAUGCUACGGUGAAUACGUUCCCGGGUCUUGUACACACCGCCCGUCACACCACGAGAGUUUGUAACACCCGAAGCCGGUGGAGUAACCAUUUUGGAGCUAGCCGUCGAAGGUGGGACAAAUGAUUGGGGUGAAGUCGUAACAAGGUAGCCGUAUCGGAAGGUGCUGGAUCACCUCCUUUCU
RNAcentral lists this ribosomal RNA (1542 nucleotides) under Staphylococcus pseudintermedius. Its description in RNAcentral is "bacterial SSU rRNA". It matches the Rfam family "Bacterial small subunit ribosomal RNA". The record is from RNAcentral. Lineage: Bacteria; Bacillati; Bacillota; Bacilli; Caryophanales; Staphylococcaceae.